This 448-nucleotide ribosomal RNA is filed under the name uncultured bacterium. RNAcentral's name for it is "bacterial SSU rRNA". It matches the Rfam family "Bacterial small subunit ribosomal RNA", at positions 29 to 521 of the family's 1533-position model. The record is from RNAcentral.
AACGAACGCUGGCGGCAUGCCUAACACAUGCAAGUCGAACGCUUAUCUUCGGAUAGGAGUGGCGCACGGGUGAGUAACGCGUGGGAACCUGCCCUGGGGUGGGGGAUAACCGAUGGAAACGUCGGCUAAUACCGCAUACGUCCUGAGGGAGAAAGAUUUAUCGCCCUGGGAGGGGCCCGCGUCGGAUUAGCUAGUUGGUGGGGUAACGGCCUACCAAGGCGAUGAUCCGUAGCUGGUCUGAGAGGAUGAUCAGCCACACUGGGACUGAGACACGGCCCAGACUCCUACGGGAGGCAGCAGUGGGGAAUAUUGGACAAUGGGCGCAAGCCUGAUCCAGCAAUGCCGCGUGAGUGAUGAAGGCCUUAGGGUUGUAAAGCUCUUUCGGCGGGGACGAUGAUGACGGUACCCGCAGAAGAAGCCCCGCUAACUUCGUGCCAGCCGCCGCGGU